RNAcentral lists this unclassified non-coding RNA (332 nucleotides) under soil metagenome. RNAcentral's name for it is "partial contains 5.8S ribosomal RNA, internal transcribed spacer 2, and large subunit ribosomal RNA". The stretch from base 1 to 120 matches the Rfam family "5.8S ribosomal RNA", at positions 35 to 154 of the family's 154-position model. The record is from RNAcentral.
GAUGAAGAACGCAGCAAAAUGCGAUAAGUAAUGUGAAUUGCAGAAUUCAGUGAAUCAUCGAAUCUUUGAACGCACAUUUCGCCCGCCAGUAUUCUGGCGGGCAUGCCUGUUCGAGCGUCAUUUCAACCCUCAAGCACAGCUUGGUGUUGGGACUCGCGUUAAUUCGCGUUCCUCAAAUUGAUUGGCGGUCACGUCGAGCUUCCAUAGCGUAGUAGUAAAACCCUCGUUACUGGUAAUCGUCGCGGCCACGCCGUUAAACCCCAACUUCUGAAUGUUGACCUCGGAUCAGGUAGGAAUACCCGCUGAACUUAAGCAUAUCAAUAAGCGGAGGA